This 237-nucleotide long non-coding RNA is filed under the name Cicer arietinum (chickpea). RNAcentral describes it as "long non-coding RNA (CARI_LNC000464)". Lineage: Eukaryota; Viridiplantae; Streptophyta; Magnoliopsida; Fabales; Fabaceae. The record is from RNAcentral.
AACCAUAUGUGCCCAGCCAGCACUAUUCUUGCCAAAGGGUUUGCCGUAUGUGUAUUCUGGCAACGUGCCAGUGAUGUGGUGGGUGUAUCCUUUUAGUUUUGGUAGCGUUGCCAGAAUACUUGUAUAAGACAAAUCAUGCUUACAAUCAUACAAGUCAGUGAUUGAGAGCACUUCGAAUUGACAGCGGUGGGUUUUGAACUGUACCUCUAGAUAUAAGGUCGUGGUUUAAGAAUAAAU